UACGUAGGGUGCGAGCGUUGUCCGGAAUUAUUGGGCGUAAAGAGCUCGUAGGCGGUUUGUCGCGUCGACUGUGAAAACCCGAGGCUUAACCUCGGGCCUGCAGUCGAUACGGGCAGACUAGAGUUCGGUAGGGGAGACUGGAAUUCCUGGUGUAGCGGUGAAAUGCGCAGAUAUCAGGAGGAACACCGGUGGCGAAGGCGGGUCUCUGGGCCGAUAUUGACGCUGAGGAGCGAAAGCGUGGGGAGCAAACAGG
RNAcentral lists this ribosomal RNA (253 nucleotides) under uncultured bacterium. RNAcentral describes it as "partial 16S ribosomal RNA". It matches the Rfam family "Bacterial small subunit ribosomal RNA", at positions 524 to 776 of the family's 1533-position model. The record is from RNAcentral.